Molecule: RNA transcript, 2193 nt
Organism: Mus musculus (house mouse)
Lineage: Eukaryota; Metazoa; Chordata; Mammalia; Rodentia; Muridae
Gene: Ddx49
Gene name: DEAD box helicase 49
Exons: 13
Source: RefSeq, marked validated
ACUCAUUUCUAGGUUCUCUGCCCGGGUCUGGAGCAUGGCGGGGUUCGCUGAGAUCGGGUUGUCGUCGUGGCUGGUAGAACAGUGUCGACAGCUGGGGUUGAAGCAGCCCACGCCGGUGCAGCUCGGGUGCAUUCCGGCCAUCCUGGAAGGUCGGGACUGCUUGGGCUGUGCAAAAACAGGAAGUGGCAAGACAGCAGCCUUUGUGCUUCCCAUCUUGCAGAAGCUGUCUGAGGACCCUUAUGGCAUCUUCUGCUUGGUUCUGACACCCACCAGAGAGCUGGCCUACCAGAUCGCUGAGCAGUUCCGGGUGCUGGGGAAGCCUCUGGGUCUGAAGGACUGCAUCAUUGUUGGUGGAAUGGACAUGGUGGCUCAGGCGCUGGAGCUCUCUCGGAAGCCACAUGUAGUGAUUGCCACCCCUGGGCGCCUGGCUGACCACCUGCGCAGUUCCAACACUUUCAACAUGAAGAAAAUCCAAUUCCUGGUGAUGGAUGAGGCCGACAGGCUGCUGGAGCAGGGUUGCACCGACUUCACCACAGACCUGGAGACCAUCCUGGCAGCCGUUCCAGCACGAAGGCAAACGCUGCUGUUCAGUGCCACGCUGACUGACACACUCAAGGAGCUGCAGGGCCUGGCCACCAACGAGCCCUUCUUUUGGGAGGCACAGGCCACAGUCCGCACAGUGGAGCAGCUUGAUCAGCGCUAUUUGUUGGUACCGGAGAAGGUGAAGGACGCCUACCUGGUUCACCUAGUCCAGACCUUCCAGGACCAGCUGGAGGACUGCUCCAUCAUCAUCUUCACCAAUACCUGCAAGACCUGCCAGAUCCUUUGUAUGAUGCUUCGAAAGUUCAACUUCCCCACAGUGGCACUGCACUCCAUGAUGAAGCAGAAAGAGCGCUUUGCGGCCCUGGCCAAAUUCAAGUCCAGCAUCUAUCGGAUUCUUAUUGCCACUGACGUGGCCUCAAGGGGCCUGGACAUCCCCACCGUGCAGGUGGUCAUCAACCACAACACCCCUGGGCUUCCCAAGAUCUACAUCCAUCGGGUUGGCCGCACAGCCCGUGCAGAGGUCCCUGGAGCUGAUCAGCUGGGACAAGCCUGUUGAUGGGGCCCAGGUUCUAUGACAAAUGUGUCCCCACAGGGAGGCAGGGGCAAGCCAUCACACUGGUGACGCAGUAUGAUAUCCACCUGUUGCAUGCCAUCGAGGAGCAGAUCAAGCAGCAGCUGGCAGAGCUGGUGGUGGAGGAGGCUGAGGUUCUACAAAUCCUCACGCAGGUCAACGUAGUGCGAAGGGAGUGCGAAAUAAAACUGGAGGCUUCGCAUUUUGAUGAAAAGAAAGAGAUCAACAAGCGGAAACAGAUGAUCCUGGAGGGGAAGGACCCAGACCUGGAGGCCAAACGCAAAGCUGAGCUGGCCAAGAUCAAGCAACAAAACCGACGCUUCAAGGAGAAAGUGGGGCAGACACUUCGGCGGCAGAAAGCAGGGAGCACUGUCCGACGGUCGCGUCCUCCCAGAUCUCGGCCCCAAGAGCCAGCCCAGGCUGAGGCUCAGGACUGAGCUGUAAACCUGGUGCUGGUGGCCCCUGACUUCAGUAAACACUCUUUGAAGUUGUCAGUCUGACUUGAGAAUGGGGUGGGAUGAGUACAGGGCCUUCAGGUCUCAGGAUCCCAAAGCCUCUGUUGCCCCAUGGGGAUGACUAGUGCAGCCUUCCCUCGCAGUGUCCCUGGGGCGCAGGGCAGCAGCAGCCAGGGACAGCAACGCCACACGUAGAAAUGUAACCUGGGUAGAAGCACUGCCCAAGGAUUCUAGAAAACUCUACACAGUGCAAAGCUCAGAGACAGCUGGGGUCCCCUGGCCCCUGCCAGGGCGCCUUGAGGCCGCAGACACUCCAUGGCAGACUAGGGUGCUGCCUCUGCCAGGCGUGCCAGGCCUUCACGCAGCUCGCUGAGCUCAAACAGCCGAACAUCCAGCAGCUGCGCAGCCCGGCCCACCUCCGCCCGUGCGCGCUCCCGCUCGGCCCGCGCCUCCUCCAGGUUGCACUCCAUCGACCGCAGCUGCUGCUCCAGCUCUGCAUUCCGGGUCUCCAGGUCCUACACGGGGAAGACGGGGUGGGGUGGAAGCUCUGGUUGCCAGUUAUGGCUGAUGUGGCCCAUGGCUCUCACCGGGUCAGUAAAGUGCCAUUAAAGUGUGAAGUACUGA